Molecule: long non-coding RNA, 282 nt
Organism: Gopherus flavomarginatus (Mexican gopher tortoise)
Lineage: Eukaryota; Metazoa; Chordata; Testudines; Testudinidae
Exons: 3
Source: RefSeq, a predicted model, not a curated record
CGUUGCGUAACGCUAACCGGGAGCCGCCGCUAGUGGACAAGCCGCACUGCAGGCACCUUGCCAGUCAGUCCCAGGCUGCGCAGGAUCAGUGACUUAUCUAGAAGGGUAGAAGGGACAGCAAAUAUCUGCCUUGAAAAAAAUGAAGAGAACAGGAAAAAAUAAUAUGGAUAAACUGCAUCAUCCCAGAAGACAAUAGUCAACACUACUGCUACAGUUCUCUGGCGCAAGAGGGCAAUUUAAUCACAAGUUGGUCUCCACAGAGCCCUGAUGGCUGAGGAUGCC